RNAcentral lists this ribosomal RNA (345 nucleotides) under Pseudomonas fluorescens. RNAcentral describes it as "bacterial SSU rRNA". Lineage: Bacteria; Pseudomonadati; Pseudomonadota; Gammaproteobacteria; Pseudomonadales; Pseudomonadaceae. The record is from RNAcentral.
UGCUUCUCUUGAGAGCGGCGGACGGGUGAGUAAUGCCUAGGAAUCUGCCUGGUAGUGGGGGAUAACGUYCGGAAACGGACGCUAAUACCGCAUACGUCCUACGGGAGAAAGCAGGGGACCUUCGGGCCUUGCGCUAUCAGAUGAGCCUAGGUCGGAUUAGCUAGUUGGUGGGGUAAUGGCUCACCAAGGCGACGAUCCGUAACUGGUCUGAGAGGAUGAUCAGUCACACUGGAACUGAGACACGGUCCAGACUCCUACGGGAGGCAGCAGUGGGGAAUAUUGGACAAUGGGCGAAAGCCUGAUCCAGCCAUGCCGCGUGUGUGAAGAAGGUCUUCGGAUUGUAAA